RNAcentral lists this transfer RNA (67 nucleotides) under Amblyomma testudinarium. RNAcentral's name for it is "tRNA-Ile". Lineage: Eukaryota; Metazoa; Arthropoda; Arachnida; Ixodida; Ixodidae. The record is from RNAcentral.
AGUAAAAUGCCUGAAUUUUAAAGGAUUAUCUUGAUAGGAUAAAUAAUGUAAAUAAUUACUUUUACUA